RNAcentral lists this unclassified non-coding RNA (272 nucleotides) under Hevea brasiliensis (rubber tree). Lineage: Eukaryota; Viridiplantae; Streptophyta; Magnoliopsida; Malpighiales; Euphorbiaceae. The record is from RNAcentral.
GAUGACUGUUGAUUUCUUAGGAGUAGGAGGAUCAAGACAAAGGAAUCUCCAUGAGCAGCAGAAACAAGAAAUGGAGUUUAGAGGAAUUGGUCAUCCAAGAAUUCAUCAAGGUUUGGGUCACUUUGAGCAACAAGCUGCAGCAGCUUUGGAGAAACCCAUGUGGGAUGUCUGAAAAAGAAAGCAAGAUUUCAUAAUUUCUACCUAGUCCUUCUAAUGAGUUCUCUCAUUACCCUUUUUUCCAAAACAAGAUUUUUGCUUUUCCUUUUUUUUUU